This 483-nucleotide ribosomal RNA is filed under the name uncultured bacterium. Its description in RNAcentral is "partial 16S ribosomal RNA". It matches the Rfam family "Bacterial small subunit ribosomal RNA", at positions 30 to 507 of the family's 1533-position model. The record is from RNAcentral.
UUGAACGCUGGCGGCAGGCCUAACACAUGCAAGUCGAGCGGAUGAAGGGAGCUUGCUCCUGGAUUCAGCGGCGGACGGGUGAGUAAUGCCUAGGAAUCUGCCUGAUAGUGGGGGAUAACGUCCGGAAACGGGCGCUAAUACCGCAUACGUCCUGAGGGAGAAAGUGGGGGAUCUUCGGACCUCACGCUAUCAGAUGAGCCUAGGUCGGAUUAGCUAGUUGGUGGGGUAAAGGCCUACCAAGGCGACGAUCCGUAACUGGUCUGAGAGGAUGAUCAGUCACACUGGAACUGAGACACGGUCCAGACUCCUACGGGAGGCAGCAGUGGGGAAUAUUGGACAAUGGGCGAAAGCCUGAUCCAGCCACGCCGCGUGUGUGAAGAAGGUCUUCGGAUUGUAAAGCACUUUAAGUUGGGAGGAAGGGCAGUAAGUUAAUACCUUGCUGUUUUGACGUUACCAACAGAAUAAGCACCGGCUAACUUCGUG